Nicotiana attenuata is the source of this 3138-nucleotide long non-coding RNA. RefSeq lists it as uncharacterized. The record is from RefSeq and is a predicted model, not a curated record. The transcript is spliced from 2 exons. NCBI's taxonomy places the organism in Eukaryota, Viridiplantae, Streptophyta, Magnoliopsida, Solanales, Solanaceae.
UUCAUAUAUGAGGGUGAAGUGAGUUCCAAGAGAGAGAAACAGUGGAUGUUCUUGAAGGGUCAACCGUUGUAGAGAGAAUGAGGAAGUUUCCAACCCUCAUACACACCAAGGUAAGGUUAUUUUAUGGAUUUACAUCUACUCAACAUCACACACAAGGACUAACACAACCUAUUCGUGGAAUCCUUAGAUUCUAAGCUCAAUUUUUCAUGAACUCAAUAGAUGAAUUUGUAGGACUUUGUUCCAAAAAGGUAAUGCUACAUCCCAAACUUACAUACAUAGGUUGCUAAUGAGUAUAUGAGUAGGAAUUUAAGUAUUGGACAUUGUGGGAUGGUGAUUAGAAGCCAUAAGCUCUCAACGUAAAAUUUGCGCACCGUAGAGAAUGAAGAAGUAUUUUAUUUGAUAUAUGUGUUAAUUGGGAGUGGGUGGUUGGACAUGCAUGUGUAGUUGAAAGUCAUAAAUUAACUAAGGAUGGUUGUGGAACGAAAGGUGGAUGCUGGGUUAAUAAAUUUCCAUUAAUGGGUGUUGUAGAGAACUAUGUACAUUAGGUGUUUGAUAAAAUACCUAGGAGACCUAGGUGAAAAUUGUAAUGGACACUGAACAAUAGGUUAUACUCAAGUUGUUUCUAAAAGAAUAUGGAAAAAUUAUGCUUCACACUCUAAAGAAUAGAACUCUGGAACAACUUGUACUACUUGAUAGUGAUAUUGAAUUGCCUUGGCAUGUUGGGGAUGAACUCAAUAUGGUGAUGAAUGAAGAGGAAAAUAUUGGAGGUCAACCAGUUUACACGAGGAGAACGAAAUCCUAUUACAAUGGGUUCAUUAAGAAGGUGAAGGAGCAGUUGCAAUCAUGAAAGGGCAAGUUGUUAUCUUAUGGAGGCAACUAGUGGUUAUAUCUAAUUUCCUUCAAAGCAUGCCAAUUUACUUGUUAUCCGGUGUUAAUCCUCCUAGAUAUAUCCUAGAUGAUCUUCAUAGAAUUUUUGCGAGGUUUUUCUAAAGCAAUAAGGAAGAUGGAAGAAGAAAACAUUGAUCAGCAUGGCUAAACCCUUGUCUACCUAGACAAGAAGGUGAAUUAGGGUUUAGGUCUUUGUAUGACGCUUCCAAAGCUUUAUUUUCCAAGUUUUAAUGGAAGUUCCGGUCUACUAAAUUAUUGUGGGCAGAUUUUGUAUGGAAUAACUACUGAGCAGAUACCCACUUUGAUACAAUGGAGAGAUGGUUCUCACGUUUAGAAGAAAUCGUUGGAGGCUAGAGAUUUUAUUGAACAAAAAAUUUGGUAAGAACCUAAAUGUAGUUCCUCCAAUGUUUAGUUUGAUAACUUGGACCAAAUUUGGUGCUUUAUGCCAUGUUUUUCCUACUGAUUUUCCUAUUGAUGAUAUAUCUAGGAUAUGGAGGAACUUAUGGAGAAUGGAAACUAGAAUGUACAAAAAUUAUAUUUUUGGAUAAAAUUGUUGAGAAUAUUAGGCAGGAGUAGGAUACAUUAGAGGGUUCUGAGAAAUGAGAUAGACCUUGGUGGAAGUUAAUUAGCUCAGAUAAAUUCACUGUGAGCAGUGCAUGGAACAUUCUUAGACAUAGGGCUCAUAUUUCUCCAUACUUUAAGAACAUGUGAAUGGGUUCCUUUCAAAGUAUUAUUCUUUCUUUGGAGAUUGUGAAAAUUUAAGGUGCCAACUGAUUAUGUGCUUACAAUAAUUGGGUAUUCUAUAUCCUCUCGGUGUUGGUGUUGCCUCAAUCCGCAACAGGAAAUAAUUUCUUACUUAUUUCUCACUGGCUCUUUUGUUUCUAGGAUAUGGAACUAUUAUGUGACUGCUGCAGGUAUUCAUGGGCCUUUUGUACAGCUUCACCAAGCUGUUUUCUAGUGGUGGAAUGCAGACAACCUAAGUAAACUUAAGCGAUUAUUUCAAGUUGUCCACGCGAUGAUAUGUUGGCAACUUUGGAAGAGGAGGAACAUGGUGAUUUAUGAUGGGAAAAUCUCUUUUAAGAGAGUGGUUCAUGAGAUUAACAACCACCAAUAUCAGCUGGCCGAUGUGAGAUAUUCUACAUAAUAUUUCUUUUCUUUGGCCAUAAAUGAUUCAGCAUUUUUUAAGGGUAGCCCUUGAUGGGGUGCAAGUUGGUAAAAUGCUCAUGUCCUCUGGUAGAUUAGUACAAAUGUAAUUCUGAUGGAGCUUCAAGGGGCAAUCCAUGGCCUAGUUUUGUUGCCUAUUAUGUUAGAAAUAGUGAUGGUGGCCUUGUAUAUGCUAUGGUAAGGAGAUUGGUGGAUACUAACAUGACUACUGAGACGAUUCUAUAUAAGAAGGUUUGGAUUUCUAUGUUUCUAACUUAUUGGUGUUAAUUGUUGAGACUGACUCAUUGACAAUAAAGAAUGUGUUGGAUAGUAUUUAGGAGGUGUCAUGAAGCAUUGUGAUGGAGGUUAUUGGGAUCAAUCAAUUGAGAAGAAGGGGAUAAGUGCAGCUUGCUCAUGUGGUGAGGAAAAGGCAAGGCACUGGCAUAUUAUGUUACUAACCUAGUUUUUGAUUUUUCAGGUACCAUAUACUUUGACACAUUUCAUGCACUUACUACUACAACAAAGAAGAUACUUAAUGUGGAUAAGGCUCAAGUUCCUAACAUGAGGUUUAGACCAAUAAAAAUAAGAGAUCCAGGUUGAAAGACAAAGACUCAAAUGAUCAUCAGGACAAACAAGAUACUUAGAGAAUUAAUCUACCCGGCAUGCUUUGACGGACACAUACACUUGCGGGGAAAGGUGGUAUGGUUAUCACCUAGUUGUUUCACAAAUGGGCCAAUUACUUACGGAUUAGUCACGUUUCAUGGGAGGCAAUUCAUUGGAGAUUGGACACAGUCAAAAGACAAAAUGCACAUUUCAAUUUUGCCUUGAAGGAUUCUUCUUUUGGUUUUGGUAUCAUAGCACAUGGUGAGAGCUUUGUAGGUGUUGGAGAUUGCACCAAACCGAGGCAAUUGGACACUUCUGCAGUAAUCAUCUUGUUGGCUUGUCAUUUUGCUUUAUUUUAUAUGUAUUGGAUUUCUUUAUUAGAGUCAACUUAGGAUAAUUUGUCUCUAAGUUGACAUUAGUUUUAGUUCUUACAAAGCUUAUUCUUGUACAUAUUAUAAUACUUAUUUGGUUUGAUUUUAUGUAUAUAAUUAGCCAUUAAGCAAU